GGAAGAGAAUCCAGCAGUGUUUUAUCUUUCCAUGAGAUGUGAAUGAGACUGGAAAGACCAACAUUUGUUGCCCAUCCCAAACUACCUUUGAACCGACUGCUAUUUCAGAGGGCAGGACUGACCGUGACCAAUUCCUGAACUGAAGGGGUGCCAAGCUGCAGACUUGAAUUGGACUCUCUGCCUGACCAGUGUUCUCUUCAGCUGCAUGGCUGUUCAGCUAUUCUGAAGUUUCACUGAGGUUCCAUACACGCCAGUCAGCAUGCUGACACAUUGACCUCUGAAAAUCAAAAAUAACAUGCCUUAUAACCCAACAGGUUAUGAUGCCUACAGAGAUCACAUCAUACACGAAUGCUUAAAGAAGCAUGCCUGUGUAAUAUCUGCCACAGCUCAGUUGGUAAAACUUGGCUCUGAGUCAGAAGAUCAUGGAUUCAGCUCACACUCUGGGAUUUGAGCAGAGAAAAACCAAGGUCGACAAUCCAGUGAAAUACUGAUGGAGGAUUGCAGUGUUGGAAAUGUCACCUUUGGAAUGAGACGUUAAACUGAGACUCCAUCUGUUC
Molecule: long non-coding RNA, 557 nt
Organism: Rhincodon typus (whale shark)
Lineage: Eukaryota; Metazoa; Chordata; Chondrichthyes; Orectolobiformes; Rhincodontidae
Exons: 3
Source: RefSeq, a predicted model, not a curated record